RNAcentral lists this small RNA (171 nucleotides) under Escherichia coli MS 182-1. RNAcentral's name for it is "RtT RNA". The stretch from base 40 to 171 matches the Rfam family "RtT RNA". From Rfam's summary of the family: This family represents a bacterial cis-regulatory element known as RtT RNA. The record is from RNAcentral. Lineage: Bacteria; Pseudomonadati; Pseudomonadota; Gammaproteobacteria; Enterobacterales; Enterobacteriaceae.
CAAAAGUCCCUGAACUCUCAAGCGAAUCCGCAAUCAAAUAUUCUGCCCAUGCGGGGAAGGAUGAGAAGCUUCGACUAAGGUUCGACUCGAGCGUCAGCGAGAGAGCGUUGCCGCAGGCAACGACCCGAAGGGCGAAGCGCGCAGCGCUGAGUAAUCCUUCCCCCACCACCA